GAUGAACGCUGGCGGCGUGCCUAAUACAUGCAAGUCGAGCGAACAGACGAGGAGCUUGCUCCUCUGACGUUAGCGGCGGACGGGUGAGUAACACGUGGAUAACCUACCUAUAAGACUGGGAUAACUUCGGGAAACCGGAGCUAAUACCGGAUAAUAUAUUGAACCGCAUGGUUCAAUAGUGAAAGACGGUUUUGCUGUCACUUAUAGAUGGAUCCGCGCCGCAUGAGUUAGUUGGUAAGGUAACGGCUUACCAAGGCAACGACGCGUAGACGACCUGAGAGGGGGAUCGGCGACACGGGAUGUGAGACACGGUCCAGACACCUACGGGGGGAAGCAGUAGGGAAUCUUACGCAAUGGGGGAGAGCCGGACAGAGCAACACGGGGGGAGUGAUGAAGGUCUUCGGAUCGUAAAGCUCUGUUAUUAGGAAGGAACAAAAGUGUAAGUAACUGUGCAGGUCAUGACGGUACCUAGACAAUAAGCCACGGCUAACUACGUG
RNAcentral lists this ribosomal RNA (497 nucleotides) under uncultured bacterium. RNAcentral describes it as "partial 16S ribosomal RNA". It matches the Rfam family "Bacterial small subunit ribosomal RNA", at positions 28 to 507 of the family's 1533-position model. The record is from RNAcentral.